This 103-nucleotide small nucleolar RNA is filed under the name Ceratocystis platani. Its description in RNAcentral is "A. fumigatus snoRNA Afu_514". It matches the Rfam family "A. fumigatus snoRNA Afu_514". The record is from Rfam by way of RNAcentral. Lineage: Eukaryota; Fungi; Ascomycota; Sordariomycetes; Microascales; Ceratocystidaceae.
GUUCCUGAUGAGGUAAUUUGCGUUUGAUUCUGACUGUUGGCGCCCUCGCCGGGGUUGCUAUAGCAGUUGGUUAAAUGACAUUUAUUUCUUACAUAUUCUGAAU